CAAAAUAUUGGCCGCAUGGACAAGUACAUGAAGCAUGCCUACACACUAGCCAUAUUGUUGGCCCUUCUUGUCAUGUACUUUGCUACCCAUACACAGUGCGCUUUCAUAGAAGAUGUGGAUAACAAGAAGAUUAAUUUGCCUUCUGGACUAUGCAGUCAUAAUGGAUCGGUUUGUCACUUAGGGUAUUGCUUCUGCUGUUUGCUAACCAACCAGUGCUAUACGUCAGUGGACGAUUGCAGGACUGAGUGUAAAAAAUCAUCUUAUUCAGACACAGUAGCGGCUGCAAACAAUACUCGUUAGUAGGGUUGAUUGUAAAAAAAUCAUCUUACUCGGGCAUAGUAGCUGCUGCAAACAAUACACAUUUGAUGUUCCUGGAUGAGCAAUCAAUGUCGAAUAAAAGGCAGUAUUAUAGUUGUUGUAAAAUA
This is a long non-coding RNA of Lolium perenne, 425 nucleotides long. RefSeq lists it as uncharacterized. NCBI's taxonomy places the organism in Eukaryota, Viridiplantae, Streptophyta, Magnoliopsida, Poales, Poaceae. The record is from RefSeq and is a predicted model, not a curated record.